CAGUCACCGUCAAGUGUUGCGAACGAUCUAAGCCAUGCCUUCAAAAGAUGCGAGUUAAAAGAAAACACUACCGGGAAAGUCCUGACACACAACAUCUCUAGUUUAUCUUUAACGGUAACUAAUUGUGUCUAAAAUAUUUAUGAUAACAUAAAUCUAAAAGGACUAGGAAGAACGUUUUAUGGGUAUCGGGAUUGAAACAGUGGGUAUCGGGAUUGCAACAGUCCUCGUCGUACUUGACAGAAACGAAAAUAAAGAACACAACAAUUUGUUUACUCAAUAAAACCUCAAUUUGAGGAAAAACACUGCUGGGGCUUUAACUCUUAAAAGCCUCUAUUGAAAAGAAAAUACACUAUGAAUCAAGAACGAGUCAAUUACAAACUUUCUAGCACUAACUGCGGCUAUUAUCUCUAGAACCCCAGUAGAUAUGGUUGAAACACUCUUCUUCUUCAAAUAAUCUCUUCUUCAAUCUCCAAGGAACUAACCACAUCCUUGAUCCUUUAAUCACAUAAACAAGUUCAACUCAACACGAAACAGUUGAACUUGUGACCUUACAAAGUAUUGCAGCGGAAAUACUAUCUCUCAAAUGCUAUGCGUGCAAAGAUAGUUCUCUAAGAAUAAUUGUGCAAAAUGUAUUCUUCCAAUAGCUGUUGCAUCUUCUUUUAUAGAUGAAGAACUUCUACUCUUUAUUCACGUCUUUAAUCAGAUUGGUUUCCAAUAGAUAAGUCCUUCUCCUAUUACUAUACAAAGACAACAAUAAUAUCAGAUAUAAAAUAUAUCCCAAAUCAAAUAAUAAUAAUCAGAGUAUAUAUAACCUAAUCACAUUAGGUUUUCUUCCUUUUCAAGUGCACGAAUCUCAUGAUUUAAUGAAUCAACAUCCUAACCAAAUUAGGAUCCUUAUCUAUGAACGUAAUAGCUUCUUUCCCUGUGUAUAUCAUAUCCAAUUAAACAUAGAUAUAUAUAUAUAUAUAUAUACAUAGAGGAUGUAGAGCGGACGUCCGCACUCGGCUUAAAGUGCGGACGUCCAUCCGUUCUCCACCCUCCGGCGCCGGCGAUGGCGCGCCUCCACCCCAGAAGACUCCAGCAGCGUCCCCGACCACUUCUCCUCCCCGGCGAGUUCCGUUUUUUUCCAGUUUCCGGCGAGAUCGACUUUGUUUGAAGUUUUGGAUGAUCUCGCCAGAAAACCGGAAAAGAAUGGACUUGCCGGGGAGAGAAAGUGGUCGGGGACGCUGCUGGAGUCUUCUGGGGUAGAGGCGUGCCGGCGCCGGAGGGUGAAGAACGGACGGACGUCCGCACUUUAAGGCCGGUGCGGACGUCCGCUCCACAUCCGGCCUAUAUAUAUAUAUAUAUCCAUAUAUGUCAUAGUGAAAAUAGCCUUGCUUUUUUUGAACUCAAAGACAAUUUUGUUAUUAGUACUAAAGUAUAGGGUACAAUACGAAUCGAUUCGUUGCUGGAAACAAUAGUUCCUUGAUGUAAAUGAUCCAAAAUAGUAAAUUACCAUAGCACCUAGUAAAGUAGCAGCAGCAUUUGAACUUGUAGCAGCUCACCUCUGGGAGGUAAAUUUGUAGCUUGCAAAUGUGUAAUGUGUCGACUUCAGGAGAAGACUUUGGCUUUAGGAUUGAGCAAGGAAACAACGUUGUGCUUGCAUUUCCUUAAGGUGACACACUUAAACCGGCUAUGCUUACGUCCCUAAGUGGUUCCUAAUAACCCCAAUGAUCUGCUGCAAUAAUAUAUCUCUUUAUUCACACAAAGCCAUGUCCAACCCUCAUGUUAAUACAAGGUGCCGGAUAUGAAGCUUUAAUUGGUAUAUGGUGAAUUGAUGAUGGCUUCAAGGAUGAUGACUUGCUCACAUCGCGGAUGCAGAAACUUAACCUUCUUGAGGAAGAUAUGGAUCACAAUAGUAUAGAGUUCUGUGAGUUGAGCAAAUCCGAGAGAAAGGAUAUGAUUUCUAUGUUGAUCAUCAGACACAGGAGGAGGAGGAGGAGGAGGAGGCUUGUAAACCAAGUUUUCGAAGAAGUCAUUGUAUUGAGAGAGGUCUCCAAACUCUGAUGUCUUAACCACAGUGGUUCCCUUGGCAAGAAAAGAACCUCAGAGAAUAUGUGAGUUUCAUACUUUCAUUAUUAAUUUUAUAUUCUCAUAAUAUUUUAUUUUUGAUGAACAAGAAUUACCAAGCAUGUUAAUUAAGAGAAGAUUGAUUCAUGUUGUAGCAUUCUCCAGAAUGGUUGAAGUUAAGGAACCAUGAGAAUGUCCAUAAAGAUCACAAUGAUUCUUGUUGCGGAAGUACUAGACUUGAACACCAUACUUUAUAUCUCCUAACAUAACUAGCUAGCAUAUUUGACUUGAACACUUAACCGCAUGAUCCUCACCAAGGACAAGAUAAAGAGAAGGUUAACUAUCUCGAUGUCCUAAAGAACACUAAGAUCAGAAUGACUAUUUUCCUUAGCAAAGUUAGAAGAGCUACCAGUCUCUCUGAUACAGCCUCCAGGGAGAAGGAACCUAAAUUUGUCCGCAUUCUUUAUCAGAUAAGCUGGAAGGUUAAUAGCAGAAGCUGAUUUGGGAAUCGAUCCCAUCUUGCUGAUCACUUCCUUGAAUGUGUACCCUUCAGGCAACAUAUCGAAAAGAUCAUCUCCUUGACAAAUGAGCUUCUGUAUUCUUCCGUAAUCCAGAAAAUCUCUCCGCCACACACGGUCUGCGUGGCUAUAAGCACUCAUCUUGAACACAAACUCCUCAAUGUGCCGAAAGCAAAAACUACAAUGCCAUCCUGCAUCAGAGAGCAGGUCAUCAGUACGCCUCGAAUGCGUGUACCUGGUAUCCUUGCUGUAGAUAGUGGCUGCAGUCUUCCAGAUGCUGUCCAUGGGGAACUCAAAUGAGUACAGGUAAUGCUUCAUCUCAAGAUGCAAUUCAGAAGGGAUUCCCUCACACCAUUGCAACAGUUUCAAAACCUUCGUGCUAGGGAUCUCAUCAGUAUCCGCCAUUAUCAGGAUAUCGCCAUAGGAAAUCCCUGCCUGUCGAAGUAACACAUCCAUAGCUGCACGUUGCAUUCUCUCAUAUUUGAAGGGGUUUGCAUGUGAACCUCACUUCGAGCUGUGCCAGGAAAGACAUGGUGCACAACUUUUUCCUCUAGCAAAAGGCAAACCUGUUCCUAUUUGAAUAAAGAAGNNNNNNNNNNNNNNNNNNNNNNNNNNNNNNNNNNNNNNNNNNNNNNNNNNNNNNNNNNNNNNNNNNNNNNNNNNNNNNNNNNNNNNNNNNNNNNNNNNNNNNNNNNNNNNNNNNNNNNNNNNNNNNNNNNNNNNNNNNNNNNNNNNNNNNNNNNNNNNNNNNNNNNNNNNNNNNNNNNNNNNNNNNNNNNNNNNNNNNNNNNNNNNNNNNNNNNNNNNNNNNNNNNNNNNNNNNNNNNNNNNNNNNNNNNNNNNNNNNNNNNNNNNNNNNNNNNNNNNNNNNNNNNNNNNNNNNNNNNNNNNNNNNNNNNNNNNNNNNNNNNNNNNNNNNNNNNNNNNNNNNNNNNNNNNNNNNNNNNNNNNNNNNNNNNNNNNNNNNNNNNNNNNNNNNNNNNNNNNNNNNNNNNNNNGAACGGAGCUGGCGGCGUAUCCCAAAGUGGCCGCAAGAAGUAUGUAACUUUCCGGUAAUCUGUAUAGAAUCCUAACAUACAUGCAGACACAAAUAUCAACAGUAGGAGAUAAAAGAAGUUGCGUGGAGUUCGUCUGGAAAUAGGACGAAGAGAUCGUGGUGCCAUGCCGUGAAGGAUAUUUCUUUUCUUUUUGAAAGUAUAGCCGGGUGGUGCUGCCAUCAAGCCUUGAUUAAAGAAACCGCGGAAUCCAUAACGGGACGUGGUGCCUAUACCCCAAUUUACAAAACGCAUAUCAAGAGAACUUCCUGAAAUUAAUACAACAUCGAGGUUUAGGAGGUUUAGGAGGGUCAAAAAUCAUAGCUCUAACAAUCUUGAUCUACCUGCAUAGAGAAAACGUUUUUAAAUCAUGAUGAUAAACAAUGUACCUCACUUUUGCACAAAUUGUAAUACUACCUGGUUUGCUUUAUCAUAACUUAAAGUGACUGAAAGUGAGAUUCUUGAAAACCCACCAUGUCAUCUGAUAAAGGGGAAUUGAAAAGCCCUCUGGCAAAUAUUCAAAUACAUCGAUCAUAUGUUUUACACCCAACAAAUCGAUCAAGAAAAACCAUGUCUAUCAUAGUUUGUUUGCUCACACCAUAAGACAUCAGUUCUAGAGCCUAUCUAGCAUUUUAUGAAACAGCAACCAAAUCUCUCUUAGAUAAUUCAGGGUCUAAUAUGCAUUCAGAAAUUCAAAUCCUAAAUUAAGAAAUCAAAGAGGACAAUGAAACCAAUAAGACAGAGAUAUAUACCUCUAGUGUCCGCAGGUACAAGAGAGCAAAGGAGGACGGCAAAGCCUAAAAUGGCAGAAAUUCUUGAGUUUGAGACUGAGCAGUCACCGUCUUAAUUAUAAAGAUCAACAAAGUGGAUAUGGACAAAAUUUGGUAGCUUUGUAAUAAACGCCGGUGCGGCGAUUCUCAAGUCUUAGUGUUUAUGUAGAUUUUGUUAAGUGUAUGACUUGUGUUGGGCUUAAUUAAAUAAAGCCUAACUAAACUUGUAGUUAGAGAUUUUAUAAAUUUGCUGGCCGAAUUUAAAAAGUUUGCUGGGUGUGCUUAUACUAAUUUUAAAAUGGAAUUGAAAUAGUCCUGUAACUGCUGUUUAUAGCUAAUAUUAAGAUUCAAGUUGUUAAUUAAGUCGGUGAAUUGAACGAUUCAUACCUAUAACAAUGCCUAAAGUUAAUGAAGCCUCUGAUAUAUGCAUGUCUCAUAAAGAGAGUAGGAAAACCAAGUACAAUCUUACGCCAUAGCAAAAGUGAUAAUAUAUUUGGCUAAUCGCAUCACACAAAUGUGCUUCUUAACUUGUAUGAAAAAUAUAUAUGAUUACAAUCAUAGAAUCAUAGCUAUGAAUUGAGUUAUAUGAUCCAAAUAAAAACUUACCAAGACAGUGUGGACUAAACCAAAUAGGUCGGAAAUGUGGAGUGUCUCAAGGGUUCUGACUUUUGUGCCGCCCUAGAUUAUUAACAAAUCUUGGCCGCCUGAAUUUCUAGUGCACUACUUUGUUAUUUGGAACCAAGCAAAUUAGGCAUCAGGUUGGUCAGCUUUUUGAUGCAUAAAUCCAUUCAGUAGUCCAUUCUAUAAACUGGUGGUCUUGGUCUUGGUCUUGGACUAUGCUUCGAUUCAUUUAUAAUAGGAGCAUGCGUGUCCCUGUGAUUGACUUUGAAAGUUGUGGCGACUACACCGACCCGGAGUACACGUACAUUUCAAUCACAGUCAAGUGUUACGAACGAUUUAAGCCAUGCUUUCAAAAGAUGCGAGUUGAAAGAAAACGCUACCCUGAUAUAAAUCAAUGAGCAAACAUGUCACGUGACACGACUAACUCACGUAUUAUUGUUAAGUUUGCGUAUAUUUUUAAAUAGAUGCAUACUGCUAAAUGGAGACGUAACUACAAGUUGAUUAGUUUUGACAGUUAAUUGAAAGAGUCGAACAUGUCACGUGACACGACUAACUCACGUAUUACAUAUUGUUAAGUUUGUGUACAUUUUCAAAUGGAUGCAUACUACUAAAUGGAGACGUAACUACAAGUUGAUUAGUUUUAACAGUUAAUUGAAAAAGUCGAACAUGUCGCGUGAUACGACUAACUCACGUAUUACAUAUUGUUAAGUUUGAGUACAUUUUCAAAUGGAUGCAUACUACUAAAUGAAGACGUAACUACAAGUUAAUUAGUUUUGACAGUUAAUUAAAAGAGUCGAGCCAAGUCCAACCUACUCUCUUAUCAGAGCCUUAACUAUGAUAGUAUGAGCAAGAGCAACUUUCUUGUCUAAUCAAGAAAAGUAGGAUUGAAGAAAACAAAGCAAAAACAAAAUAAGUAAAGCAAUACAGAUCAAGCAUAUGACAAGAGCUGCAGCAUGUAGCUGUAAUUGUAGGUACCACCGAUGCAAUACUGAAGCAUCCAAGAAAAUUCCAUGGAAAAUGACAUUAGCUAUAUGGACAAAUUGUAUAAAAGCGACCUUGGUCUUGCUAUCCAUGUUUCUGAUUUUGAAUCCAGCCAAAGCUUAUAGCUGGUGCAUCUAUAAUUCACUUGCAUCCUAUACAUUUUGAACUUAGAGUCAAAUCAUAUUGUUAAUUUUGGGAAUCCACAUUAUUUUUCGGCCUUUUGGAAUAGAAAGGAUGUGAGAUUGAAAGUAACGCUCUUAUUUAGUGGUUAGCAUGUUCUAUUGUGGUCAAUCGUGUAUUCAUAGUGUUGGUGAGUACAGUCAUGUAUUCAACAUGCAAAUGGUGGUCUAAAUUGUUUAGCCGUUUCACCUAUAGACUUUUUAAACUAAUACAUUUCAAAAAGAUGCACAUCACCCCUCUUAUUCAUCCAUGAUGCCUGCAAAGAAGCCGAAAGGGAAUUUACGUUAGAUUGAUUUUUUUUAUAAUGUUAGCGAGCAAACUUAUACAUAAACGAUCAACUUCUCAUGUACAAAUCAAAAAGUCAAUAAGAACUACGAAACAAGUAGAAGAAGCAACUUCUCAUGUACAAAUCAACAAGUCCAUAAGAACUACGAAGCAAGAAGCAUAAAAUUUACGUUAGAUUGAUUGUUCUUAUAAUGUUAGCGAGCAAACUUAUACAUAAACGAUCAACUUCUUAUGUACAAAUCAACAAGUCAAUAACAACUACGAAACAAAUAAAACAUUUACGAAUCACGUUUUUAAAGGAGAGUGUAAUUGAUAAUGUGUGAAUUAUAGUCUACAUACCUUGACCCACUUAAAUGUGAAUUAGGGUGUAGAUUGGAAUGGAAGAUGUGUAAAUUUUAAUAAUGAGAUACAAUAUUUCCUAGUUAGUAAAAAUCAUAUUGUGAAAUGAACCCAAUUAUUAAUACGGUGGAAAGUAAAUGAUGACAUUACCAAAAUUGUGGGUUUUUCAAGGAGGUUCACCUUAUAAUCAGUGCAGGCGCAUGCAUUGGAUAUUAACCCCUCCUUUUUCUAGAUAAAUACAAAGUGAUCUGAUUAGAACCGUUUAAAAUGUCUUUCGUCAGACUGAGUUGACGUGUGGUUGUUACCAUCCCACGUGAAAACGACAACAAUUUAUUAUCUCGCGAUAUACGAUACGAUAAGCGCGAAAUUGUGAGUCAUUGGAAGACUUUUCCUUUCUGUCACUUUAUUCUAUUUAUUCCUAACAACAAGCAUUUCAGUUCAGCACGCAUUCAUGUACCUUUUCAAAAAAUCAAAAAUAGAAAGCUACUAUCAACAUUAAAAAUAAUAAAUAAAUAAAUAUGAGGUGGAAAUUGGUUUUUGUCCAUGACACGGCAACUGGUGUGAACCAAGUAAACGUUGGUCUACUUACACUUAUAUACAGUCCUAGUAACGAUUUAAAGUAAAGAUUUACCGUUUUUACGUAAUUGUAAUUUCGUUUGAUAUUAUGUUGAAAAGAGUUUAGUUUACUGAGGAAUUGGGUGUCAAGCCGAAAUCCGAAUAUGUAUUCAAGUGUUUAAAAAUUAAAAUUCUUAUCGUAUAAUCUCAUAAUAUAAGUGACAUUUGAUUGUGUGUGACCUCUUGUAUAAAUACAAUGUAAACAGUAACUACAUUGAUGGUCUAUGGCAAUUUAGUGUCCCAAUCUUUCCAUAUAAGAUGAUAAUAAAUGAAAGAAAGAAAUUGGCCACAAAAAUAAAUAGAAAGAAAAUGGCCAACCACCCUACCAUCUUUCAACGAGAAAUUGGGGCAUUAUUGGCCUUUUUUUUUACAAAAAGAAUAAUACAUACCAAGUGGUUCCACGACAAAGAUCUAUACGGAUAAAAAUGAUCAAAGUAAAAAGAACAAGAAGAAAAAGAAGAUAUGAGCGUAAAGAAUUCAUGUGCAAAUAAACUAGUUUUCAUUUUCACUAUUGUAAGUUCAUACCGUGGAAAAUAUAAAGGGACUAGGAUUGACGUUUUAUGGGUAUCGGGAUUGAAACAGUGCCUCGUCGUACUGGACAAAAACGAAAAUAAAGAACACAACAAUUUGUUUACUUAGUGAUACCUCAAUUUGAAGAAAAACACUGUCGGGGCUUUAACUCUUGAAAGCCCCUAUUGAAAAGAAAAUUCAUUAUGAAUCAAGAACGAGUCAAUUACAAAUUUUGUAGUACUAACCGCGGCUACUAUCUCUAGAACCCUAACAUAUAUGUUUGAAUCACUCUUCUUCUUCAAUUAAUCUUCUUCUUCAAUCUCCAAGGAACUAACCACAUCCUUAAUCUUUCAAUUACAUAAACAAGUUAUACUCAACACGAAACAGUUGACCUUGUGACCUUACAAAGUAUCUCUCAAAUGCUAUGCGUGCAAAGAUAGUUCUCUAAGAAUAAUUAUGCAAAAGGUUGUAUUCAAACAAGAUGCUACGUCUCCUUUAUAAACGUCCAAAACUCUUGUGCAAGACAUCUUCUCAUCAUCAACGUCAUAAAUCCAUUUGGUCUCUUAAAAGGAAAUCUUUUAAACUGCACAAUCACCAAAUCAAUCAAAUAUAUCUCAUAUAUCAAAUCUGAUAAUUAAAGGAAUAGAAAACCUAAUCAAAUUAAGUUUCAUUCCUUUUCACGCAUCAAUAAACCCUAAUCAUAUUAGGUUACAUUCAUUCUCAAGUGAAUUUGAUUCAAUAAGAUCAACAUCCUAAUCAAAUUAAGAUCCUUGUCUAUCAACAUCCUAAUCAUAUUAGUAACCAAAUCAGAUAUACUUAAGAGUUAAGACUUCUUCCUAUGUGCAUAUCCAUAUCCCAUUAUACAUAGAUAUAUAUCCAUAUAUGUCAUAGUGAAAAUACCCUUGCUUGCACGCACCAACCUGAGAGCUUAACCAAAUCAAAUCAUAUAUAUAAUAAAUCAAAUCAUAUAUAUAUAUAUAUAAUGCAUCAAUGCUCAUCAAUCAAAUAUUUAACCAAAUAUAUAAGUCCUAAUCAAAUUAGAACUUCCUUGCUCGCACUUCUUCUAUUUUGUAUAGAGAUGCCAAUAAAUCAUAUACCAAUAAAAUAUUGUUGCCCAUUUCCUUUUAAUCAAUAAUGUAUUUGUAGACAAAGGUGAACACGAGUUGAAUAUAAAGUUAUAAUAUAAAUGUAUAAAAGCCUAGAAAAAGUUACGGAUCAAACACGUCUUAGAAAGACAACAACAAAUAAAUUGGCAUCCCAAACAAUAUAGUGAAAUGAUAUCUUGUACCUCACCAACGUACCAUGCUAUCCAUAUGAAAAAUGCUCAUUCAUAAUAUUUGUACGUAGUAGCAUGGAUAGUCAAAAAUUACAGAAAUGUAUAAUAAAAAUUCCUUCAUAACGAUCUUUACAAUCUAAGCCUAGCUAGGAAAACUUGUCCAAACAACCUUUGGUGUUCCCCUGCAUAGCAAACACAAAAGAGAAUCUCUUUAGCCUGUGCAAAGCAAAGCAAAGGAAGGUAAAUAUCUAUGGGUGCUACUAGAUGUACCCAGCAAAUUACUUAAUGUACCCAGCAACAUAAUUUUUAUUCCUAACUUUCCGAUUCUACCCCUUGUUUUACAUAAAAUUAAGUAAGGAAGAACAAAAAGGAAAAGAACGAAAAAAUAUCAUUCUAUCAUAACUUGUUCUCCCCCCCCCAGUAUUUUUUUUUUCUCAUUGGUUUACCACUAUUCGAUUGGUUCUUAGGGAAAUUAUCUGAUCUUCUCAGAUUGAUUGGCUUAUCUCACCCGGGGGGAGGAGGGAGAACCUUUUUUAAUCUCUCAAAUACCCUGAACAGUAGAUCGAUGUUCAUGUUUUGGUUUUUGGCUGGGAGGCUAGAACUGGAUCUUUAGGCUAAAUACUGAAAGCUUCUUAGAUUUCAACAAUCCUCUCAUUGGCUUAUUAAUUCGUUGGCAUAUAUCUAUAUGUAUGAUUGAUUAUCUAUUAUAAGUAUUGAUCAAUAUGAUAUUUUAUGAAAGUAGAGUUGAUCGAGAUGGAACUGCACCAAAUCCAAGUACGUAGUUGCUGGUUCCAAACAACUUUAAGGUUCCAUAUUGAUAUCCUCCAUCAUCUUUGAGAUAUUAGAUGAAGAAACAAACUUGAGAGAGAAGAAGCAAAAUAAGAAGGAAGAAUUGAAGAAGAAAUGAAAUAAUGAUGGA
This 10097-nucleotide long non-coding RNA is filed under the name Fragaria vesca (wild strawberry). RNAcentral's name for it is "long non-coding RNA (FVES_LNC000064)". Lineage: Eukaryota; Viridiplantae; Streptophyta; Magnoliopsida; Rosales; Rosaceae. The record is from RNAcentral.